AACACUGUUAACCUGCGGUACCUGCGGAAGGAUCAUUAAAAAAACUUUGCCCGCGGACCCUGGGUCCAAGGCGCAAAACCCACACUGUGUGCACUGUUAUCGUUCUUUUGGCAGGGGCUUGGGGUGUCUUCCAACUUGGGGAACCUCAACUUCUCGUCUGGCUCUAUCCACCUCGGACAGCUGGACAUGAGAAGCAGUUACUCUGCCAAGUGACCCUUAAAAACACGCUUUUUUGUCUGA
This 240-nucleotide unclassified non-coding RNA is filed under the name soil metagenome. RNAcentral describes it as "partial contains 5.8S ribosomal RNA, internal transcribed spacer 2, and large subunit ribosomal RNA". The record is from RNAcentral.